GUACACAUAUGGUGGGGGAGGUGGCGACUUGUAGAUAUAUGGAGGAGGUGGUGAUGGUGGAGGAGGAGAUGGGUAAACAUAAGGUGGAGGAGGUGGUGACUUAUACACAUAUGGAGGAGGUGGGGGUGAUUUGUAGAUAUAUGGAGGAGGAGGCGAUGGUGGAGGAGGAGAUGGGUAAACAUAAGGUGGAGGAGGUGGUGAUUUGUAUACGUAUGGAGGAGGUGGUGAUGGUGGAGGAGGAGACGGGUAAACGUAAGGUGGAGGAGGUGGUGACUUGUACACAUAUGGAGGAGGUGGGGGUGACUUGUACACAUAUGGAGGAGGUGGUGAUGGUGGAGGAGGAGACGGGUAAACAUAAGGUGGAGGAGGUGGUGACUUGUACACGUAUGGAGGAGGUGGGGGUGACUUGUACACAUAUGGAGGAGGUGGCGGUGACUUGUAUACAUACGGAGGAGGUGGUGAUGGUGGAGGAGGAGACGGGUAAACGUAAGGUGGAGGAGGUGGUGACUUGUACACGUAUGGAGGAGGUGGGGGUGACUUGUAUACAUAUGGAGGUGGCGGUGAUGGUGGAGGAGGAGACGGGUAAACAUAAGGUGGAGGAGGUGGUGACUUGUACACAUAUGGAGGAGGUGGUGGUGAUUUAUAGACAUAAGGAGGUGGUGGUGAUGGAGAUGGUG
This 677-nucleotide long non-coding RNA is filed under the name Medicago truncatula (barrel medic). RNAcentral describes it as "long non-coding RNA (MTRU_LNC001936)". Lineage: Eukaryota; Viridiplantae; Streptophyta; Magnoliopsida; Fabales; Fabaceae. The record is from RNAcentral.